AGCGAACGCUGGCGGCAGGCCUAACACAUGCAAGUCGAACGAAGUCUUCGGACUUAGUGGCGGACGGGUGAGUAACACGUGGGAACGUACCUUUUGGUUCGGAACAACUCAGGGAAACUUGAGCUAAUACCGGAUGUGCCCUUAGGGGGAAAGAUUUAUCGCCGAAAGAGCGGCCCGCGUUAGAUUAGCUAGUUGGUGAGGUAAAGGCUCACCAGGGCUACGAUCUAUAGCUGGUCUGAGAGGAUGAUCAGCCACACUGGGACUGAGACACGGCCCAGACUCCUACGGGAGGCAGCAGUGGGGAAUCUUGCGCAAUGGGCGAAAGCCUGACGCAGCCAUGCCGCGUGAAUGAUGAAGGUCUUAGGAUUGUAAAAUUCUUUUACCAGGGACGAUAAUGACGGUACCUGGAGAAAAAGCCCCGGCUAACUUCGUGCCAGCCGCCGCUGUAA
Molecule: ribosomal RNA, 449 nt
Filed under: uncultured bacterium
Lineage: Bacteria
Description: partial 16S ribosomal RNA
Rfam family: Bacterial small subunit ribosomal RNA
Source: RNAcentral